AAGGGAGACCUAAUUCCGGUAGGAGACGAAAAAAAAGUAGUCCCAACCAAGAAUCAAUCCCAAAAGGUCGGAGCGAGGCGAAAUUGGCUUUCAAACUAGGUUCUGGGUUCACACAAGACCUGAAUCAGGAACAAGGGCUAUUAGCUCAGGUGGUUAGAGCGCACCCCUGAUAAGGGUGAGGUCCCUGGUUCGAGUCCAGGAUGGCCCACCUGUACAGGUGGAAGAAAGAAAAGAAGCUCCGAAUCAGCACCUUAUCUUACUUAUAUAGUAAGAGAGAAUGCUGGCUCUGAGUUCAGAGUCCAGAGGAACCUUGAAAACUGCAUAGAGCUAGGUGAAAAAGCCAAAAAAGAAGACCGCCA
This 359-nucleotide transfer RNA is filed under the name Microcystis sp. EG31. RNAcentral's name for it is "16S-23S ribosomal RNA intergenic spacer". The stretch from base 135 to 208 matches the Rfam family "tRNA". RNAcentral also lists the same sequence under 1 other name. The record is from RNAcentral. Lineage: Bacteria; Bacillati; Cyanobacteriota; Cyanophyceae; Chroococcales; Microcystaceae.